RNAcentral lists this ribosomal RNA (447 nucleotides) under uncultured bacterium. Its description in RNAcentral is "partial 16S ribosomal RNA". It matches the Rfam family "Bacterial small subunit ribosomal RNA", at positions 331 to 794 of the family's 1533-position model. The record is from RNAcentral.
CCAGACUCCUACGGGAGGCAGCAGUGGGGAAUAUUGCACAAUGGGGGGAACCCUGAUGCAGCGACGCCGCGUGAGUGAAGAAGUAUUUCGGUAUGUAAAGCUCUAUCAGCAGGGAAGAAGAAGGACGGUACCUGACUAAGAAGCCCCGGCUAACUACGUGCCAGCAGCCGCGGUAAUAUGUAGGGGGCAAGCGUUAUCCGGAUUUACUGGGUGUAAAGGGAGCGUAGACGGCAGCGCAAGUCCGAAGUGAAAGCCCGGGGCCCAACCCCGGGACUGCUUUGGAAACUGUGAAGCUGGAGUGCGGGAGGGGCAGGCGGAAUUCCUGGUGUAGCGGUGAAAUGCGUAGAUAUUAGGAGGAACACCGGCGGCGAAGGCGGCCUGCUGGACCGUAACUGACGUUGAGGCUCGAAAGCGUGGGGAGCAAACAGGAUUAGAUACCCCAGUAGC